CCUACGGGUGGCAGCAGUGGGGAAUAUUGCACAAUGGGGGAAACCCUGAUGCAGCAACGCCGCGUGAGUGAAGAAGUAUUUCGGGAUGUAAAGCUCUAUCAGCAGGGAAGAAGUUGAAGGUAACUGAGAAAGAAGCCCCGGCUAAGUACGGGCCAAGAGCCGCGGGAAGACGUAGGGGGGCAGCGGUAGACGGAUUUACUGGGUGGAAAGGGCGGGGAGACGGUGAGUCAAGUCUGAAGUGAAAUCCCGGGGCUACACCCCGGGACUGCUUUUGAAACUGCCUGACUGGCGUGCUGGAUAGGCAAGCGGAAUUCCUAGUGUAGCGGUGAAAUGCGUAGAUAUUAGGAGGAACACCAGUGGCGAAGGCGGCCUGCUGGACAUUAACUGACGUUGAGGCUCGAAAGCGUGGGGAGCAAACAGGAUUAGAUACCCUUGUAGUC
This 440-nucleotide ribosomal RNA is filed under the name uncultured bacterium. RNAcentral's name for it is "partial 16S ribosomal RNA". It matches the Rfam family "Bacterial small subunit ribosomal RNA", at positions 338 to 795 of the family's 1533-position model. The record is from RNAcentral.